RNAcentral lists this long non-coding RNA (569 nucleotides) under Ananas comosus (pineapple). Its description in RNAcentral is "long non-coding RNA (ACOM_LNC010884)". The record is from RNAcentral. Lineage: Eukaryota; Viridiplantae; Streptophyta; Magnoliopsida; Poales; Bromeliaceae.
AUGCUUAAUAUUUUAAAGAGUAUUCAAUUCUCACCGUCCAUUUUGACAUAAUUUAUUUACUAAGUAAACGAUAUAAAAAAAAACUAAAAUUUUAUUCCUAAGAACUUCAUAUACCCUAUAUCAUAUUUAACGGCAUCGAUCGUUGAUUUGAAUGCCCUAAGAUCGAAAACAACACUAUAGUAUGGGAGCUCCCGUACUAUAGAUAGUAUAGUAGCCUAAUUAUAUAUAUAUAUACUACUUAUAAAAGCGUGAGUUUUGAAUUUUUUUCUCUUUCCCAAAAUUCCGGUCCCUAUUAAUAUAAUUCCAAUUACAUACUAAUAAUAUCAUUCAUUCAACUUUAAUGGAAUAAAUCACAGUCGUACAAUUUUUAUUUUAUUUUUAAAUUAUCAUAAAAUAUAUUAAUUCUUAGUCAUUAGAUCUAAUCUAAUAACUGACGAAUUAAGUAUCUGUCACUUUUUUUACCUAAAUUGCCUCAAAUAAUACGUAUCAAAUUUUCUUUUUUAUAUGCAUGCCAUAUCUUCUAAUAACCGCUGCCCACAUAAUAUCAUAUUUUAUAACAAAUAAUAUUU